Molecule: long non-coding RNA, 1024 nt
Organism: Balaenoptera musculus (blue whale)
Lineage: Eukaryota; Metazoa; Chordata; Mammalia; Artiodactyla; Balaenopteridae
Exons: 5
Source: RefSeq, a predicted model, not a curated record
ACUUCUAUACGCUAUGGAGGGACGAUUUGGGUGACAUCUGAGACGCAGCCGCACAUCAAGCGUCCGGGCUCCAGGGACAUGGCGGCGGCCUCUGUGGUGUCGGUGCUGCUGGUGACGACUGAGAGGAACCAGUGGAAGCCAGUCCAGAGCCCGCUGCUGCUGCUGCUGCCGCUGCCGAGGCAACGAUCCAAAAGGUAGUUCUGGCACUUGGAUACUACUACCUUGGAGCAACUUGUCAUGCCUGCAUUGUGUGGAACCAGUGUUCAAAAUAAAAUGCAAAAACUUCAGGCUGGUGGAGGAGGGAGCACACAACGUCCUGGUACUCCAGGGAGACCAUUUGAUAUGUUAAAUAGAAUAUAUCAUUGUUGUGUUGCUUUCUGCCUUAAUGCCAAUUGAUAUGCUGAAGACCUCAAAAAGUUCCUGAGAAAUCCAUUUCAAAUUCUAGUGAAGAAAGAAGAACUGACCUUUGAAAAGGUCAAUAUCUUAUAAUAACUUUGAAAGAGGGCGGUGACAGAAAGAAAGAGGCAUUACCAAGAGGGAAUUCAAAUAAGGGACUGAUUACUACUGACUUACUGAAUUGGCAGCAGGAGUCAAUUUGGGAGGAAGGCUGUGGCCAUAAACAUUGAAGAAGACAAGAAGAUUCCUUGUGACACUGAGCCUUUCUGCCAUACUACACUGGAGGAAAUGCCAAUGAAUGUGGCUGACCUAAUUUAAUUCCUGGGAUGAAAUGGUUUUGAAUGUAGUGCUUGCUGUUGGUGAAUAGGCAAUCACAAGGUGCACUGUGCUUCUUUUGGGGGAAAUAUUUGAAGCUUUGUCUCAAUGCUCAUAGCAGAUCAAAAAUAUAGAUUUUGAUAGCAAAGCAACUUCAGCCAUGAGCUCAUGUGAGGAAAGUCAUUGGCUUUAUCCUCUUUAGAAUUAGACUGUUGGGGUGGCUAUAAAAGAUGGGCUUGUACCCAAUUGAAAAAUGGGCAGAAGACCUAAAUAUACAUUUCUCCAAAGAAGACAUACAGAUGGCCAACAGGCA